RNAcentral lists this ribosomal RNA (465 nucleotides) under uncultured bacterium. RNAcentral describes it as "bacterial SSU rRNA". It matches the Rfam family "Bacterial small subunit ribosomal RNA", at positions 198 to 644 of the family's 1533-position model. The record is from RNAcentral.
GGAGGAAAGUAGGGGAUCGUAAGACCUCGCGUUAAUGGAGUGGCCGAUAUCUGAUUAGCUAGUUGGUGAGGUAAAGGCUCACCAAGGCGACGAUCAGUAGCUGGUCUGAGAGGACGACCAGCCACACUGGAACUGAGACACGGUCCAGACUCCUACGGGAGGCAGCAGUGGGGAAUUUUGGACAAUGGGCGCAAGCCUGAUCCAGCCAUUCCGCGUGAGUGAAGAAGGCCUUCGGGUUGUAAAGCUCUUUCGCAAGGGAAGAAAACUUACUCAAUAACACUGGGUGAGGCUGACGGUACCUUGAUAAGAAGCACCGGCUAACUACGUGCCAGCAGCCGCGGUAAUACGUAGGGUGCGAGCGUUAAUCGGAAUUACUGGGCGUAAAGCGUGCGCAGGCGGUUUUGUAAGUCAGAUGUGAAAGCCCCGGGCUCAACCUGGGAACUGCGUUUGAAACUACAAGGCUAG